RNAcentral lists this ribosomal RNA (589 nucleotides) under uncultured Mycoplasma sp. Its description in RNAcentral is "bacterial SSU rRNA". It matches the Rfam family "Bacterial small subunit ribosomal RNA", at positions 198 to 805 of the family's 1533-position model. Lineage: Bacteria; Bacillati; Mycoplasmatota; Mollicutes; Mycoplasmatales; Mycoplasmataceae. The record is from RNAcentral.
GUUUUAAAGGAGCAAUCCGCGCUGAGAUUGGAGUAUGUUCCAUUAGCUAGUUGGCGGGGUAAUGGCCCACCAAGGCAAUGAUGGAUAGCUGGUCUAAGAGGAUGAACAGCCACAAUGGGAUUGAGAUACGGCCCAUAUUCCUACGGGAAGCAGCAGUAGGGAAUCUUCCACAAUGGGCGAAAGCCUGAUGGAGCGAUGCCAUGUGAAUGAUGAAGGUCUUUUUGAUUGUAAAGUUCUUUUAUUGGGGAAAAUGAUGAUGGUACCCGAUGAAUAAGUGACAGCAAACUAUGUGCCAGCAGCUGCGGUAAUACAUAGGUCGCAAGCGUUAUUCGGAUUUAUUGGGCGUAAAGCAAGCGCAGGCGGACGAGUAAGUUCUGUGUUAAAAGCAGCAGCUCAACUGUUGUUUGCGCCGAAUACUGCUCGUCUAGAAUACGGUAGAAAGUUUCGGAAUUGAAUAUGGAGCGGUGGAAUGUGUAGAUAUAUUCAAGAACACCAGAGGCGAAGGCGGAAACUUAGGCCGCUAUUGACGCUUAGGCUUGAAAGUGUGGGGAGCAAAUGGGAUUAGAUACCCCAGUAGUCCACACCGUAA